CCUACGGGGGACAGCAGUGGGGAAUAUUGCACAAUGGGCGAAAGCCUGAUGCAGCAACGCCGCGUGAGCGAUGAAUGCCUUCUGGUCGUAAAGCUCUGUCCUCAAGGAAGAUAAUGACGGUACUUUCCGAGUAUGCCCCGGCCAACUACGUGCCAGCAGCCGCGGUAAUACGGAGGGGGCUAGCGUUAUCCGGAUUUACUGGGCGUAAAGGGUGCGUAGGUGGUUUCUUAAGUCAGAGGUGAAAGGGUACGGCUCAACCGGAGUAAGCCGUUGAAACUGGGGAACUUGAGUGCAGGAGAGGAGAGUGGAAUGCGUGGUGUAGCGGUGAAAUGCGUAGAUAUUAGGAAGAACCCCAGUUGCGAAGGCGGCACACUGGAGUGUAACUGACGCUGAGGCACGAAAGCGUGGGGAGCAAACAGGAUUAGAUACCCGUGUAGUC
This 439-nucleotide ribosomal RNA is filed under the name uncultured bacterium. Its description in RNAcentral is "partial 16S ribosomal RNA". It matches the Rfam family "Bacterial small subunit ribosomal RNA", at positions 338 to 795 of the family's 1533-position model. The record is from RNAcentral.